UUGGUGGUUAUUUUAAUGAGCCUGAAGGCAGAGAGCACUUGGGUGGAAUAUGAGUAAAUCUCAUUACUCUGACGGUGCUUGCCUGACUACAAAGAAAGUUUAUAUUUAGUAAACUACUCGCUCCUGUGACCCAGUUUGCCAGGAUGAUAAUUUCCUUAGCGUGGCACUGAGCUCACUUUUCCCUGCUCAAAUUCCAUCAAUGAGGGAUUGUUCCCAUCUCUGAAUUCCUCAGAGCAAGGAACACUCUGGGAAGUGAACUCAGUCCAGGAAUUCCUUCCCAAUAUCCCACCCAAACCUCCUUUUCCAGUGGGAGCCAUUCCCUGGAUCCUGUCUCGCCAUCCCUCGUCCUUCUCCAGCUCUUCUUGAGCCCCUUUAGGUCCUGGAAGGGCUCUGAGCUCUCCCUGGAGCCCCUUUAGGUCCUGGAAGGGCUCUGAGCUCUCCCUGGAGCCCCUUUAGGUCCUGGAAGGGCUCUGGAGCCUUCUCCUCUCUCUCCUUCAUCCCCAACUCUCCCAGCCCAUGGUCCCCUCUGUGCUCCUUGCUCUGUUCAGUUUUGAAGAGAUCAGCUGCUAAAAAACCCUUUAAAACAUGGAGAAAACUUUUUUUUUUUACAUAUAUAUAUAUAUAUAUGUAUAUAUAUACAUGAGAAAACACAUUUCUUAUUCUAUAUACUUAUAUAGAUAUAAUACUUAAAUAUAAUAUGUGAGUUAGACUUAAAUUUAAAUAUUAAAUUUAGGUAGCACUGGGAUUUUGCCUGUAGUAAAAAAUAAAGUUUAUAUUGUUCAUGUUCAUAGAGAAAACACUAUACAUCGAGAAAACAUUUGUAUUUUUAAAAAUAUACAUUUUUAAUAUAAUAUAGUUUAUAUACAUAGAGAAAACAUUUUUUAUUCUAUAUACUUAUAUAGUUAUAAUACUUAUGUAUAAUAUGUGAGUUAGACUUAAAUAUCCCAUUUAUAUAUUAAAUGUUGGUAGUGCUGGGAUUUUGCCAGUAAUAAAAAAAUUAAGUAUCUGUUAAAAUAAUCAAACAAAUUAAAAAAAAAAUAAAGCAUCUGUUUUCUAUAUACAUGAGAAAACACAUUUUAUAUAUACAUGAGAAAACUCUUUUUUUUAUUCUAUAUACUUAUAUAUAUAUAUAUACUAUACUACUUCAAUACAAUAUAUGAGUUAGACUUAAAUAUCAUAUUUAUAUAUUAAAUUUAUAUAUUAAAUUUAUAUAUUAAAUUUAUAUAUUAAAUUCUGGUAGUGCUGGGAUUUUGCCUGUAGUAAAAAAAAUAAAGUAUCUGUUGUCUAUUUACAUGGAGAUAACAUUUUGUUUUUUAAAUAUACUUAUGUACAUAUAAUACUUACAUAAAAUAUAUGAGUUAGACUUAAAUAUUAGAUUUAAAUAUUAAAUUUUGGUAACACUGGGAUUUUGCCUGUGGUAAAAAAUAAAGUAUCUCUUGUUUAUGUGCAUAGAGAAAACACAUUUUUUAUUCUAUAUGCUUAUAUAGAGAAAACACAUUUUUUAUUCUAUAUACUUACAUACAUAUAACACUUACAUAUAAUAUGUGGGUUAGAAUUAAAUAUGAAAUAUAGAGACAAUUAUCUGGUACAGAAUACAGCACAGCAUCCCCAAAACUGCCCUUCACCAGAAUACCAGGAAAUUUAUAAAAUUAGUGAGGCUCUUGUACUUUUAGUUAAAAUAUCUUCUUGUUUUCUUUUGGGAAUUAGAAAAUUCUGUCCUCUUGGUGCCAAUAAAAUGGUAAAUUUUAUUGACAGCAAAUAAAAAAAUAAAAUAAAAGCAGGAUGGAAUUCUUCCUUUGGACAGUCUUGGAAUAAACUCAUCUGUCCUGUGAUCCCAUUAGUCCUUGGUUCAUCUCUGACAAAACAACCUGACCCCCUUUAUUUAUUUCUUUAUUUCUUUCUUUUUCUUAUUGAAAAGAAAGUCUGAGGCAGCCUUUUCAGCAUUAUUGUGCAAUAAAAAAAGGAAAAUAUUUAUGUUUUCCUGCUCAAUCUUCUCCAGAGUGGCCUUUGGAGCUGAGCUGGAUUCUGAGCUCCGAGGAGAAUCCAGCCCUGCUCAUUCCUGUCCUGCUCCUGCUCUGCACCCCAUGUGUGAAAAUACAAAAAUCCUUCAGUAGUUUUCCAAUCUGCUGCUCCUUUGCCACUACAAAGAAAAAAAAAAAAAAAAGAAAAAAAAAAA
Molecule: long non-coding RNA, 2176 nt
Organism: Taeniopygia guttata (zebra finch)
Lineage: Eukaryota; Metazoa; Chordata; Aves; Passeriformes; Estrildidae
Source: Ensembl